UACAGAGGGUGCGAGCGUUAAUCGGAAUUACUGGGCGUAAAGCGCGCGUAGGCGGCUUUGCAAGUCGGGUGUGAAACCCCCAGGCUUAACCUGGGAACUGCAUUCGAGACUGCAUCGCUAGAGUAUCGGAGAGGGAAGUGGAAUUUCAGGUGUAGCGGUGAAAUGCGUAGAUAUCUGAAGGAACAUCAGUGGCGAAAGCGACUUCCUGGACGAAUACUGACGCUCAUGUGCGAAAGCGUGGGGAGCAAACAGG
Molecule: ribosomal RNA, 253 nt
Filed under: uncultured bacterium
Lineage: Bacteria
Description: partial 16S ribosomal RNA
Rfam family: Bacterial small subunit ribosomal RNA
Source: RNAcentral